Molecule: ribosomal RNA, 445 nt
Filed under: uncultured bacterium
Lineage: Bacteria
Description: SSU rRNA
Rfam family: Bacterial small subunit ribosomal RNA
Source: RNAcentral
AGAACGAACGCUGGCGGCAGGCCUAACACAUGCAAGUCGAACGCUGCAGCAAUGCAGAGUGGCAGACGGGUGAGUAACGCGUUGGAACCUUCCCAGUGGUACGGAAUAGCUCAGGGAAACUUGAGGUAAUACCGUAUAAGCCCCUAGGGGGAAAGAUUUAUCGCCAUUGGAUGGGCCCGCGUCGGAUUAGCUAGUUGGUGAGGUAACGGCUCACCAAGGCAACGAUCCGUAGCUGGUUUGAGAGAAUGACCAGCCACACUGGGACUGAGACACGGCCCAGACUCCUACGGGAGGCAGCAGUGGGGAAUCUUGGACAAUGGGCGCAAGCCUGAUCCAGCCAUGCCGCGUGAGUGACGAAGGCCUUAGGGUUGUAAAGCUCUUUUGGCGGGACGAUAAUGACGGUACCCGCAGAAUAAGUCCCGGCUAACUUCGUGCCAGCAGCCGC